AUUGAACGCUGGCGGCAUGCCUUACACAUGCAAGUCGAACGGUAACAGGUCUUCGGAUGCUGACGAGUGGCGAACGGGUGAGUAAUACAUCGGAACGUGCCCGAUCGUGGGGGAUAACGAAGCGAAAGCUUUGCUAAUACCGCAUACGAUCUACGGAUGAAAGCGGGGGAUCUUCGGACCUCGCGCGGACGGAGCGGCCGAUGGCAGAUUAGGUAGUUGGUGGGAUAACAGCUUACCAAGCCGACGAUCUGUAGCUGGUCUGAGAGGAUGAUCAGCCACACUGGGACUGAGACACGGCCCAGACUCCUACGGGAGGCAGCAGUUGGGAAUUUUGGACAAUGGGCGCAAGCCUGAUCCAGCCAUGCCGCGUGCAGGAUGAAGGCCUUCGGGUUGUAAACUGCUUUUGUACGGAACGAAAAGGUGCCUUCUAAUAAAGGGCGCUCAUGACGGUACCGUAAGAAUAAGCACCGGCUAACUACGUG
RNAcentral lists this ribosomal RNA (482 nucleotides) under uncultured bacterium. Its description in RNAcentral is "partial 16S ribosomal RNA". It matches the Rfam family "Bacterial small subunit ribosomal RNA", at positions 30 to 507 of the family's 1533-position model. The record is from RNAcentral.